RNAcentral lists this long non-coding RNA (2666 nucleotides) under Marmota monax (woodchuck). The record is from RNAcentral. Lineage: Eukaryota; Metazoa; Chordata; Mammalia; Rodentia; Sciuridae.
GCCCCACGGGCCGCCGCACCACGCCCCCCCCAGACCGGGAAGGCGGGGUGUCUAGCCCGCAACGCUUCCUAGUUCCCAGCCUUCCACCUUGGAACUCGACCCUCUUUAGGCCCUCACACCUGAAAGUAGGGCGGGGGAGAGGGCUUCUUCCACUCAGGGGCUCCGAUCGCAGCUUCUUCCUCGUGACGGAGGAUUUUGCGACCACUCCAGGCAUGACUACCUUUCCAUUCACUCUCCUACCCUGGGGUCUCCGGCCGUGGCUAACGCGGCCGCCAGCCAAGAUCCUGCUGGGCCCCUUCCCGGAAAAGUUCCCAGCUCUCUACCCCAUCCUCCGCACCCAUCCUCCAAUGAUCCUGGGCCACAACCUGGUGAACCUUGAAAGACGGUAAGUUGGGCUGGGAAUAGGAUGCCUGCAGAUCCCGGUCGCAGCAAGAAGACAAGGCGGGCGGGUGGUGAACAGUGAGCCCUCGCGGCAUCACAUUGCUCCCAGGAGCUCGAAAACGGUUCCAAGUAAAGGAGCAUUAACUACUAGCAGCUGAAGCAACACUGUUGGAGCCAGGGACUUCGGUGGUGGAGGGCAGUGGGGCUGGUUGAGGUGGUACUUGGCACCUCUGCUGCGGAACAAGCCUCUCCCUCAUACCUACUCUGGCCCACAGACAGGACACCCAUAGCUGCUUCAUUUGGCGCUUGGAUAAAUAAGUCAAUCGUGGGACCAUUUAUUCACCUAAAUUGCGUAGGCCCUGAAAAAUGAAUGGCUCAUGUAAAGAUGCUCCAGAUAUUUCACUCCUGCCGCUGCCCACUAGGGCAUCCUGUUUAUACACCAUGUGCAUUAAGUGCAUCACUCCGUUCUUCACAAGCUUAUGAAGACCACCGUCUGCGGCAUCCUACAAGGAAGGAGAUGACUUCCAAACGGGCGAGUGGCUGAGUAAAAAGACCAUUAACUGGCAGGACUGGGGAAGAGCCCUAAUCUACCCCUCUUCACUGCCCUCUCCGGGUGGAAACAGACACAUGAGAGGCAAGUGUGGAGCCUGGAUUUGAACCCACAGCUGUCUGUUUCCAUUACACCACUAACUCAAGAACUUAGCAGAAUGAGAAAAGGAAAUACUUUGCCUUCUUUGGCCUCAAGUUCCAGUCAUCUCUGGGUCCAAACUUAGGAGUUGGUGUGAUUCACAGGAUUGAACUGGGGCCAUUAGAGAGAUACAUCUGGUGUCUUCUGAACAAUGAGCCUAGAUUCAUGUGCAGCUAAAAGAACAGGAUUCUAUUAACUUGAAUAUCCAUGAACUAAAAUCUAGGACAGUGAGAGCCAGCAUAUACUGAGUGCCCACAGGCACUGUCCUAAAUCUUAAGUAUCCUGUCAUCCCAACCCAGGGGAAAGUAGGCUCUACAUUUGUAAUUGCCAGGGCCAGCCCCUUGGCACACUACUCACUGUUCUCCAUCACCCACUGACUGAAAAAGGCACUGCCAAACCAAUGUCCAUGCAUGCUUUGUGGCUGCCUGAUGCUAUGGACACAAUCAUUUGUCUGAGGCACAGACCCUUUGAGGGUCUCUGGUGGGAAAAUGGAGGCAAUUCUGGUGCUCCAGAAACAAGUCUUCUAGCUUUUAGAAGAGUUGUAAAGAUCCCAGAAGAUCGGAAGUCUGAAGCAGGAAGAUCACAAAUUCGAAGCCAGCCUCAGCAACUUAAUGAGGCCUUGAACAACGUAGCAAGACCCUGCCUCAAAAAAAAAUUUUUUUUUGUUUUGGUUCUACUUAGUUAUACAUGACAGCAGAAUGCAUUUCAAUUUGUUGUACAUAAAUAGAGCACAAUAUCUCAGUUCUCUGGUUUUACUUUAUGUAGUGUAUUGCACCAUUCAUGCAAUUAUAUAUGUACCUAGGGUAAUGAUGUCUGUCUCAUUCCACCAUCUUUCCUGACCCAUGCCCCCUCCCCUCCCCACCCUCCCUUUUACCCAAAGUUGCUCCAUUCUGCCCCUCCCCCAUUAUGGAUCAGCAUCCACUAAUCAGAGAAAACAUUCGGCCUUUUGUUUUUUGGGUUUGGCUUACUUUGCUUAGUAUGAUAUUCUCCAACUCUAUCCAUUUACCUGCAAAUGCCAUAAUUUUAUUCUCUUUCAAUGCUGAGUACUAUUUUAUUGUGUAUAUAUACUAGUUUUUUUUAAAAAAAUUAUUCUAAUUUGUUAUAUAUAACAGAAGAACACAUUACAAUUCACACUACACAUAUAGAGCAUAAGUUUUCAUAUCUCUGGUUGUAUAUAAAGUAUAUUCACACCAUUGUCUUCAUACAUGUGCUUAGGGUAAUGAUGUCCAUCUCAUUUCACCAUCUUUUUUACCCCCUUGCUCCCUCUUUUCCCAUCUCUCCCCUUUGCCCCAUCUAGAGUUCAUCUAAUCUUCCCCCUCCCUACCCCACUAUGAAUCAGCCUCCUUAUAUCAGAGAAAACAUUUGGCAUUUGUUUUUUUGGAAUUGGCUAACUUCAUUUAGCAUUAUAUUCUCCAACUCCAUCCGUUUACCUGCAAAUGCCAUGAUUUUAUUCUCUUUUACUGUUGAAUAAUAUUCCAUUGUGUAUAUAUACCACAUUUUCUUUAUCCAUUCAUCUACUGAAGGGCAUCUAGGUUGGUUCCUCAGUUUAGCUAUUGUGAAUUGUGCUGCAAUAAACAUUGAUGUGGCUAUUUCCCUG